Molecule: ribosomal RNA, 454 nt
Filed under: uncultured Planctomycetaceae bacterium
Lineage: Bacteria; Pseudomonadati; Planctomycetota; Planctomycetia; Planctomycetales; Planctomycetaceae
Description: partial 16S ribosomal RNA
Rfam family: Bacterial small subunit ribosomal RNA
Source: RNAcentral
AGGCUUUGAUCCUGGCUCAGAAUGAACGUUGGCGGCGUGGAUUAGGCAUGCAAGUCGUGCGAGAAUCUCCUUCGGGAGAGGACAGCGGCGAAAGGGAGAGUAACGCGUGGUUACAUGCCCUCAGGACCGGGAUAGUAGCGGGAAACUGCUAGUAAUACCGGAUAACAUCUUCGGAUCAAAGGUGUGAUUCCGCCUGAGGAUUGGACCGCGUUCUAUUAGCUUGUUGGCGGGGUAAUGGCCCACCAAGGCUGCGAUGGAUACCGGGUGUGAGAGCAUGGCCCGGCUCACUGGGACUGAGACACUGCCCAGACACCUACGGGUGGCUGCAGUCGAGAAUCUUCGGCAAUGGACGAAAGUCUGACCGAGCGACGCCGCGUGCGGGAUGAAGGCCUUCGGGUUGUAAACCGCUGUCAGUUGGGAGGAAGGCGCUGUGAAGAGCAGCGUUUGACCGAUC